AGUCGGGGGCGGGACCGAGGGCCGCCGAGCGCAAGAGAAAAUCAUAUAAUGAAGGUGGAUGUAUCCAUUACCCAGCUUCCAUAUCAACUCAGGACAAGUCUUGUUUCAACCAUACUCCCUCAUCUACUGUGUGUGUCUGUAAAAGAUAAGAACUAUUUUCAAAAAGUAGCCACAAUACCAUUAUCAUACCUAAAAAAACAAUAAUUCUUUAAUAUCAUUAAAUGCCCAGUGAGUGAUUUCCAGUUAUCUCCUAAAAACAGAAAUUAUUUUUGUAAUAAGAAAAAAAAGGCUGAAAAAGAUAAAAUUGUCAAUCCAAAGAGCAGAUUAGUACAAGUUUCCUGGAGCUUUGUUUAGUGAUACUUAUCAAGAGCCUUAACAAUGUGCUUACCUUUUGCCCUAGUAAUCCCAACCUGUGAAUUUAUUCUAAGAAGAAAAAAGAACAUUGAAGAGGUAUACAAACAUUGUUCACUAGAGUGUGCAGUGUCUGUUACAGAGAAGUUGUUUGAAAACUAUUUGUUGAGGCCAGAUGUGGUGGCUUACAUCUGUAAUACUAGUACUUUGGGAGACUGAGGCAGGAGGAUUGCUUGAGGCCAGGAGUUCCAGACCAGCCUGAGCAACAUAGCAAUACCCCAUCUCUACAAAAACAUUUUUUAAAAAUUAGCCAGGCAUGGUGGCUCAUGCCCAUAAUUCUAACUACUUGGGAGGCCAAGACAGGAGGGUUGCUUGAACCUAGGAUUUCAAGGCUAUAGUGAGCUGUGAUCACAUCACUAAAACUCCAGCCUGGAUGACAGAGCAAGACCCUAUCUCAAAAGAAAAAAAAACAAACCACAAUUUUUUUUGAAUUUGAAGUUGAGCUCCUGCUGUGGUUUGCAGCUUUGUUUGUAAAAGAAAAGCUGAAAGUCAUGGAAGUGUGUGACAUUAGGGUACUGGCUAAAUAAAUGAGGGCAGAUCCAUAAAAUGAAACAUUGUUCUGUCAUGUAAAAUCAGAUUCUAAUAAUACACAUAGAUAACCACCGCUUCCAAGAGGCAGAACUUCAUCCUCAUCCUCUAAUGGACUAUGGAAAGAAGAAAAACAGUCCUUUUACAGUGAAGAAACUCAGCAGAUGCUCCCUCAACAUCGCUGGUGGUAAGUCUUGUGGCUACUGGGUACCCCCUGAUACAAUGACAGGGGCACCUCACCUCUGUGAUCUUUUACCCAAAAACUAAUAACCUCAGUCUCAUGAGAAAAACAUCAGACAAACUCAGAUGAGGGGCAUUCUACAAAAUACGUGAGCAGCACUCUUCGAAUGUGUCAAGGUCGUGAAAAACAAGAAAAGACUCAGAACUGUUAGGGACCAGAGGAGCCUCAGGAGAUGACGGAGACUGAAUGCCAUGUGGGAUGCCGGAUGAGAUCAUGGAACAGAAAAAGGGCAUUAGUGGGAAACUGGCGAAAUCCUAAUAGAGUCUGUCGUCCAGCUAAUAAUGUUUUACUAAUGUUAACUUUUUAGUUUUGACAAAUGUAGCAUGAU
Molecule: long non-coding RNA, 1508 nt
Organism: Homo sapiens (human)
Lineage: Eukaryota; Metazoa; Chordata; Mammalia; Primates; Hominidae
Source: Ensembl